This 489-nucleotide ribosomal RNA is filed under the name uncultured bacterium. RNAcentral describes it as "partial 16S ribosomal RNA". It matches the Rfam family "Bacterial small subunit ribosomal RNA", at positions 30 to 506 of the family's 1533-position model. The record is from RNAcentral.
AUUGAACGCUGGCGGCAGGCCUAACACAUGCAAGUCGAACGGUAACAGGAAGCAGCUUGCUGCUUCGCUGACGAGUGGCGGACGGGUGAGUAAUGUCUGGGAAGCUGCCUGAUGGAGGGGGAUAACUACUGGAAACGGUAGCUAAUACCGCAUAAUGUCGCAAGACCAAAGAGGGGGACCUUCGGGCCUCUUGCCAUCGGAUGUGCCCAGAUGGGAUUAGCUUGUUGGUGGGGUAACGGCUCACCAAGGCGACGAUCCCUAGCUGGUCUGAGAGGAUGACCAGCCACACUGGAACUGAGACACGGUCCAGACUCCUACGGGAGGCAGCAGUGGGGAAUAUUGCACAAUGGGCGCAAGCCUGAUGCAGCCAUGCCGCGUGUAUGAAGAAGGCCUUCGGGUUGUAAAGUACUUUCAGCGGGGAGGAAGGGAGUAAAGUUAAUACCUUUGCUCAUUGACGUUACCCGAAGAAGAAGCACCGGCUAACUCCGU